CAGCUCGUGUUGUGAAAUGUUGGGUUAAGUCCCGCAACGAGCGCAACCCUUAUCCCCUGUUGCCAUCGGUUCGGCCGGGAACUCAGAGGAGACUGCCGGUUAUAAACCGGAGGAAGGUGGGGACGACGUCAAGUCAUCAUGGCCCUUACGACCAGGGCUACACACGUGCUACAAUGGCUUAUACAAAGAGAAGCAAAUCUGCAAAGACAAGCAAACCUCAUAAAGUAAGUCUUAGUCCGGACUGGAGUCUGCAACUCGACUCCACGAAGUCGGAAUCGCUAGUAAUCGUGGAUCAGAAUGCCACGGUGAAUACGUUCCCGGGCCUUGUACACACCGCCCGUCACACCAUGGGAGUGGGUUGCAAAAGAAGCAGGUAUCCUAACCUUGAAAAAGGAAGGCGCCUACCACUUUGUGAUUCAUGACUGGGGUGAAGUCGUAACAAGGUAACCGUAGGGGAACCUGCGGUUGGAUCACCUCCUUA
Molecule: ribosomal RNA, 481 nt
Filed under: Candidatus Portiera aleyrodidarum (primary endosymbiont of Bemisia tabaci)
Lineage: Bacteria; Pseudomonadati; Pseudomonadota; Gammaproteobacteria; Johnevansiales (SeqCode); Johnevansiaceae (SeqCode)
Description: bacterial SSU rRNA
Rfam family: Bacterial small subunit ribosomal RNA
Source: RNAcentral